Molecule: ribosomal RNA, 656 nt
Filed under: uncultured Pantoea sp.
Lineage: Bacteria; Pseudomonadati; Pseudomonadota; Gammaproteobacteria; Enterobacterales; Erwiniaceae
Description: bacterial SSU rRNA
Rfam family: Bacterial small subunit ribosomal RNA
Source: RNAcentral
UUAAGUCGACCGCCUGGGGAGUACGGCCGCAAGGUUAAAACUCAAAUGAAUUGACGGGGGCCCGCACAAGCGGUGGAGCAUGUGGUUUAAUUCGAUGCAACGCGAAGAACCUUACCUGGCCUUGACAUCCAGAGAACUUAGCAGAGAUGCUUUGGUGCCCUCGGGAACUCUGAGACAGGUGCUGCAUGGCUGUCGUCAGCUCGUGUUGUGAAAUGUUGGGUUAAGUCCCGCAACGAGCGCAACCCUUAUCCUUUGUUGCCAGCGGUUCGGCCGGGAACUCAAAGGAGACUGCCGGUGAUAAACCGGAGGAAGGUGGGGAUGACGUCAAGUCAUCAUGGCCCUUACGGCCAGGGCUACACACGUGCUACAAUGGCGCAUACAAAGAGAAGCGACCUCGCGAGAGCAAGCGGACCUCAUAAAGUGCGUCGUAGUCCGGAUUGGAGUCUGCAACUCGACUCCAUGAAGUCGGAAUCGCUAGUAAUCGUAGAUCAGAAUGCUACGGUGAAUACGUUCCCGGGCCUUGUACACACCGCCCGUCACACCAUGGGAGUGGGUUGCAAAAGAAGUAGGUAGCUUAACCUCCGGGAGGGCGCUUACCACUUUGUGAUUCAUGACUGGGGUGAAGUCGUAACAAGGUAACCAAGGGCGAAUUCCAG